Molecule: ribosomal RNA, 404 nt
Filed under: uncultured bacterium
Lineage: Bacteria
Description: bacterial SSU rRNA
Rfam family: Bacterial small subunit ribosomal RNA
Source: RNAcentral
AGCGAACGUUAGCGGCGCGCCUAACACAUGCAAGUCGCACGAGAACGGAGCAAUCCGCGGUACAGUGGCGCACGGGUGAGUAACACGUGGAUGACCUUCCCUGGAGUGGUGGAUAACCUGCCGAAAGGCGGGCUAAUACAGCAUGGGACCACGACGCUUUUGGCGAUGUGGUGAAAGCGGGCCUCUAUAUAUAAGCUCGCGCUCCGGGACGGGUCCGCGUCCCAUCAGCUAGUUGGUGAGGUAACGGCUCACCAAGGCAACGACGGGUAGCUGGUCUGAGAGGAUGGCCAGCCACACUGGAACUGAGACACGGUCCAGACUCCUACGGGAGGCAGCAGUGGGGAAUCUUGCGCAAUGGGCGAAAGCCUGACGCAGCGACGCCGCGUGGGCGAAGAAGGCCUUGG